GGAGAUGAUCUCGGCCACCAUGUUAAAGACCGAUGCAGAUCGAAUUCUAUCGUACAUGACGAGGUCCAUGAGUGCACUUAGUUCUAAGACAUUCAUCUUAUGUCCAUACUACGAAAAGAGUCACUGGAUGCUUUUAGUUCUUUGCUUGCCUAAACGUGAGGUCUACAUAUUUGAUUCUCAACAGAAGAAGAGAAAUUUGAUGAUUAAGGAGCCACUAAACAAUGUGCUCAACAACCGGGAUCACUAGAUUGUGGCUACUACGUCAUGCGUUUUAUGUACGACAUAAUGAUGAAUCAUGGUAAUAGUCAAGAUCUUACUAAGGAUUUUUCAAGAACAUUGCCUUAUUCACCGGAGGAGAUUAAUGAGGUGAAAGAUUUUUGGGCGG
Molecule: long non-coding RNA, 385 nt
Organism: Spinacia oleracea (spinach)
Lineage: Eukaryota; Viridiplantae; Streptophyta; Magnoliopsida; Caryophyllales; Amaranthaceae
Exons: 4
Source: RefSeq, a predicted model, not a curated record